UACGUAGGGGGCGAGCGUUGUCCGGAUUUAUUGGGCGUAAAGGGCUCGUAGGCGGUUUGUCGCGUCGGGAGUGAAAACCUUGGGCUUAACUCAGGGCUUGCUUUCGAUACGGGCAGACUAGAGGUAUGCAGGGGAGAACGGAAUUCCUGGUGUAGCGGUGAAAUGCGCAGAUAUCAGGAGGAACACCGGUGGCGAAGGCGGUUCUCUGGGCAUUACCUGACGCUGAGGAGCGAAAGUGUGGGGAGCGAACAGG
Molecule: ribosomal RNA, 253 nt
Filed under: uncultured bacterium
Lineage: Bacteria
Description: partial 16S ribosomal RNA
Rfam family: Bacterial small subunit ribosomal RNA
Source: RNAcentral